CGCGUAGGCGGCCUGGUAAGUCUGGAGUGAAAGUCCUGCUUUUAAGGUGGGAAUUGCUUUGGAUACUGCUGGGCUUGAGUGCAGGAGAGGUAAGUGGAAUUCCCGGUGUAGCGGUGAAAUGCGUAGAGAUCGGGAGGAACACCAGUGGCGAAGGCGACUUACUGGACUGUAACUGACGCUGAGGCGCGAAAGUGGUGGGGAAGCAAACA
Molecule: ribosomal RNA, 209 nt
Filed under: uncultured bacterium
Lineage: Bacteria
Description: partial 16S ribosomal RNA
Rfam family: Bacterial small subunit ribosomal RNA
Source: RNAcentral